RNAcentral lists this long non-coding RNA (2508 nucleotides) under Olea europaea (common olive). RNAcentral's name for it is "long non-coding RNA (OEUR_LNC002027)". The record is from RNAcentral. Lineage: Eukaryota; Viridiplantae; Streptophyta; Magnoliopsida; Lamiales; Oleaceae.
UUUUUUAUACUACCACCCGCGUCAUUUUCACAAAAUUCAUGUAGGUUUCAUCGAUUUUACAUCAGUUCUUUUGCAUAUUCAUCGAUUUUCUCAAGUCACGAGCAUUCAAAUUCACUUCAUCAAUUUAUAUACGUACUUAGGUCCUAAUUCAUUCAGGUGCAGUGUGUUAUACUUGUAUUUGACCUAUAUGUGUUAUCCAAAUGCCUCCUAAGCAUGCCAAGACUACGGUAAAAAGUAUGAGGAUUCUAUUUCAUUCGAUAGUUCAAGAUUUAUCUUUUUUGUUGCUCAGGAGGUUUUUAAUUCCGAGUUCUCGUCCCGUUUGGUACUGUAUGAGAGAAAGGUAAAACAUUCCAAACUUCUUCCAGAUAUGGCUUCUAUCUUUAUUUCUCGUAGGUGGAAGCCUAUAUUUUGUCGGUUGACUUCUUCAUCUAAGCUUCUAGGCCGAGAGUUCUUUACAGAUAUCCAUGACAUAAAUAGGUCGUCAUUUAAGUUAUUUCUUAAGGGUCAGGUUGUGAGGAUUAAUCUCCAUGUUAUAUCUCGCAUUAUCAAUAUUCCUCGAAUUAUUCAUCCCCAGUUUCCAUUUUGACAACUGCUAUUCCUUCCUUUCUGCUUUUAGCGUCGACUUUGUUUAAUCAUCCUAUAGCAAUUGUCCAUGGACCAAUUGCCACAGGUGCUUUACCUACUGAGCGAUAGGUCCUUCUAUGCAUCCAGUGCACGACCUUGUGACCUGUUUCCCAAAAGUCUAGCUUACUUCUUGACAAAGCAUGAUUUUUUUGUGCCCUUCUACAAGACGACUCUAAUGAUCUCCCUUUUUCCAUUGUAUAGCAUAUGUUGGAGGGUUUUUAGCCAUAGCCAUAAAAAGAAGGGUUUACCAUACGGAUGUGUGAUAUAGUGCCUAGUGUUGAUUUUUGAGGUCAAUCUUCCUGAAGCUCAUGAGCGGUUGGGGUUGCUUAUUAGCCAACUCACUAUUGUUCAGAGUCAAUCUUAUGCUCCAACCGCUGCUCUUAUUCUAGAUGAUACUCCAUCAUCUUCUAGGGAACCUUUCCCAUCUUCUUCGAUCCUAUUUCUUCCAUCUACUCCAUCUGGUCUUGUGGACUCUUCAGUUGCCAUUAUGGGUUAGUAUCCCUGGUUAUUGAGUAGCAGGCUCAUAUGAUGAUCGAUAUUACAUCAUUUCGAUCCAUUUCUGACUGGCUUAUAGCAGAUGUUCAGUGAAUUCGAUAGCACUUAGAGGGGGGAUCUGACUCUAAGUCAGUUAUUGAUGGUGAUUCCAGUUAGGUUGCUGGUACCCCUUUGUUAUUUGUGACAAAAAGGGAGAAUAGUAUUGAUUCAAGGGGAGUAAUAGAGUAGUAGUAUUUUAUUUGAUAUUUGGCUAGCAAAUAGUUGAUCUUGAUGGUUUGUAGUCUAUUAAUAUUAUAUUUGGUAUUUUGUAUAAUUUCGAUAUCAUAUUUUGAUAUUGCUAGCUCAGUAUAUUUUUAAGUUUACUGAUAUAAUAUUUUGAUAGAUUCUAUCUCAAUUGUUGCGUGUAAAUUUUUAUCAAUUUCCAUGUACUUUGUACUUGGUAUUGUUUGAGUUGAUUUAUUUCAUGAAACAGGUAUGAGAAAACAAUUGAGACGCAAUUCUAGUUUUGAAUCAUUGAGUUGAUAUGCAUUAGGUUGUGUUCACUAUUUAAUUAUGAAAUAAAUGAUUUUGCCACGGAAUGUUAAAGGGUGAGUUCGUUAGGUCUACAGUGUAUUGGCAAAGUUUCACAAAGUCAUUUUAUCGAGUUGUAUUUAGGGUUAAGUUGUCAGGAGUUGGAAGUGUCUUUGAAAAGAAUCAAAGUCAACUCAAGAAGAUCAAGUCAUGGCAAAAAAUGCUCGAAGAUCGCCAAGUGAGCCACUCAGUUUUAGCUGGACUUGACCUCCUGCUGAACGUCCAAGGAUGAUCAAGUGGUUGUGUCAUUCGAGCAAAACCUAGUUUUUGAUUUUUUACAACCCCAAACAACCCAUAACUAUCUAAUACUAUAUAUAACGAACAAAAUUUCGUCCCGAAAGAGUAUUGAGCCAUUAUUCAUUAAAGAGAACAUCCAGUUGAAGAUCAAACAUUGAUUCUAUAUUUCUCUUGCAUCAACAAGAAGAUCAAAACAACGAAACACCAAAAAGAUUAAAAACACCAAUAAACCUCUGCCGAACAUCUUUUAGAGUUUUAUAGAUCAAGAGAAGUGACUGCGGUUAUGGUUUGUGAAGAACAAGUUCAUUCUUGAUGAUACACUUGGAGAAAAAAGUCCAAAUAUUCUGGAGCUGGUGCCGGAGAACACAAUCGAGGAGUUCUUUGGUGAUUACAUGUUGAGGGUCAAAGUUUACUAAGGUUUAACUAUAUCUGGAACAAUGUUGUAUGUUGAUUCUUUUCUAUUAAAUUAUUUACUGGCACCUAGAUGUUUUUUCUCUUGAAGAUUCUUCAAGAUUUUUCCUUCGUAAAUAAUUAUUGGUGUUCUUUAUUUUACAACUUCGAUAUUCAUGCUUGAUUGAUUGC